RNAcentral lists this ribosomal RNA (772 nucleotides) under uncultured Alphaproteobacteria bacterium. RNAcentral's name for it is "bacterial SSU rRNA". It matches the Rfam family "Bacterial small subunit ribosomal RNA", at positions 127 to 934 of the family's 1533-position model. Lineage: Bacteria; Pseudomonadati; Pseudomonadota; Alphaproteobacteria. The record is from RNAcentral.
UACCCUUUUCUACGGAAUAGCCUCGGGAAACUGAGAGUAAUACCGUAUAAGCCCUUCGGGGGAAAGAUUUAUCGGGAAAGGAUUGGCCCGCGUUAGAUUAGAUAGUUGGUGGGGUAAUGGCCUACCAAGUCUACGAUCUAUAGCUGGUUUUAGAGGAUGAUCAGCAACACUGGGACUGAGACACGGCCCAGACUCCUACGGGAGGCAGCAGUGGGGAAUCUUAGACAAUGGGCGCAAGCCUGAUCUAGCCAUGCCGCGUGUGUGAUGAAGGCCUUAGGGUCGUAAAGCACUUUCGCCAGAGAUGAUAAUGACAGUAUCUGGUAAAGAAACCCCGGCUAACUCCGUGCCAGCAGCCGCGGUAAUACGGAGGGGGUUAGCGUUGUUCGGAAUUACUGGGCGUAAAGCGUACGUAGGCGGAUCAGAAAGUAUAGGGUGAAAUCCCGAGGCUCAACCUCGGAACUGCCUUGUAAACUCCUGGUCUUGAGUUCGAGAGAGGUGAGUGGAAUUCCAAGUGUAGAGGUGAAAUUCGUAGAUAUUUGGAGGAACACCAGUGGCGAAGGCGGCUCACUGGCUCGAUACUGACGCUGAGGUACGAAAGUGUGGGGAGCAAACAGGAUUAGAUACCCUGGUAGUCCACACCGUAAACGAUGAAUGCCAGUCGUCGGGCAGUAUACUGUUCGGUGACACACCUAACGGAUUAAGCAUUCCGCCUGGGGAGUACGGUCGCAAGAUUAAAACUCAAAGGAAUUGACGGGGGCCCCCACAAGCGGUG